CGGGACGUGGCGCAGUUUGGUAGCGCGCAGCGUUCGGGACGCUGAGGUCGUGGGUUCAAAUCCCGCCGUCCCGACCA
This 77-nucleotide transfer RNA is filed under the name Actinomycetes bacterium. RNAcentral describes it as "tRNA-Pro". It matches the Rfam family "tRNA". Rfam says of the family: Transfer RNA (tRNA) molecules are approximately 80 nucleotides in length. Their secondary structure includes four short double-helical elements and three loops (D, anti-codon, and T loops). Further hydrogen bonds mediate the characteristic L-shaped molecular structure. tRNAs have two regions of fundamental functional importance: the anti-codon, which is responsible for specific mRNA codon recognition, and the 3' end, to which the tRNAs corresponding amino acid is attached (by aminoacyl-tRNA synthetases). tRNAs cope with the degeneracy of the genetic code in two manners: having more than one tRNA (with a specific anti-codon) for a particular amino acid; and 'wobble' base-pairing, i.e. permitting non-standard base-pairing at the 3rd anti-codon position. The record is from RNAcentral. Lineage: Bacteria; Bacillati; Actinomycetota; Actinomycetes. RNAcentral also lists the same sequence under 3 other names.